This 771-nucleotide ribosomal RNA is filed under the name Alectorobius cerradoensis. RNAcentral describes it as "12S ribosomal RNA". Lineage: Eukaryota; Metazoa; Arthropoda; Arachnida; Ixodida; Argasidae. The record is from RNAcentral.
UAUAAGUUAGCAACGGGAAUGAAAUAUAUAGUUUAUCUCUUCUCUUCCAAACAACUCUAAAAAAGUUUGGAAGAGAAAGAAUAUUUUUAUAGUAAUUAAAUUAUUUUUAAUAAAGUUCUUUAUGUUAAAAAGUUAAUGUUAUUUAUAUAGAAGAUAUAUUUAUUCAUUUUUAUGGAAAAAUAGACUUUAUUGAAGUUCUGGCAAAGCCUGUGCCAGCCGCCGCGGUUAUGCAGGUGGGAUAUAUAAUUUUAUACGAGAGAAAUAUUAAUAUUGAGUGAUUAUUUUAAAUUAAAUAGGUGAAAUUAUUAAUUGAUUACUGUUUUUAAGAUUUUGAAAAUUUAUUUAGAGAAAAAUGGGAUUAGAUACCCUAUUAUUAUGAAAUGUUAGUUUGGAAUUACCUUUGAGGUUGGGAAAACUAAGUAGAAUGGCGGUAUUUUAAGCUUUUUAGAGGAAUUUAUUCUAUAAUUGAUAUAACUCAAAAAUCUUACUUGAUUUGGCAAGGCAGUUUGUAUAUCGCUAUCAUGCUAUAAUGUUAUUAGGCUAUUGUAGAGAUUAAUUUUUUUAAAAAUGUUAGGUCAAAAUGCAGCAAAAGAUGAAGGUUGAAAUAAAUUACAAUGAUUUUUAUUGAUUUUAUGAAAAAGUUUAAGGAUUUAAAAGUAAAUUUGAAUUAUAAUGUUAAAUUGAAUUGAGUUCUAAAAUAUGCACAUAUCGCCCGUCACUCUCAUUUAUGAGAUAAGUCGUAACAAAGUAAAAGUACCGGAAGGUGUUUUU